This 253-nucleotide ribosomal RNA is filed under the name uncultured bacterium. RNAcentral's name for it is "partial 16S ribosomal RNA". It matches the Rfam family "Bacterial small subunit ribosomal RNA", at positions 524 to 776 of the family's 1533-position model. The record is from RNAcentral.
UACAGAGGGGGCAAGCGUUGUUCGGAAUUACUGGGCGUAAAGGGCGCGUAGGCGGCCUGUUAAGUCGAACGUGAAAUCCCCGGGCUCAACCCGGGAACUGCGUCCGAUACUGGCAGGCUUGAAUCCGGGAGAGGGAUGCGGAAUUCCAGGUGUAGCGGUGAAAUGCGUAGAUAUCAGAAGGAACAUCAGUGGCGAAGGCGGCUUUCUGGACCAAUACUGACGAUCAGGUGCGAAAGCGUGGGGAGCAAACAGG